GGUGGCAUGCACCUGUAAUCCCAGCUACUCAGGAGGCUGCUUGAACCUGGGAGGUAGAGUUUGCAGUAAGCCAAGAUCAUGCCACUGCACUCCAGCCUGGGUGACACAGCAAGACUCUGUCUCAAAGAAAAAAAAAAAGCCACUCAACAAUAGACUAAGAGUCAAGGUAUUUGAUGAUCUCCACCAUCCCUAGGCUUCUGGUAUUGCUGCAAAUUGAUCAGCUCAGUAAGACUUCUGACUCUAUCUUCUUGACCUUCAUCUGGCCUACUUAGCUUAGUAGGGAAGUUUGGUCCCUGAAUUCAGCGGUUCCUGGAAAAUAUUAACCUCCUUUCAAUUUCUUGGAAAAUGACCAUGAUGGAGGAAAAGGGUCAUAUAAACCUAUUUGUAAAAUUUGGGAUUUCACUCUGACCUUUUCUAAGCAUGAUGCUUCUUUCUUUCUCUUAAUACUGAAAGGAUAAUUUAGUGGGUAGGGUGUUAGCAAAACUUUGCAAAACUUACAACCGAGGCAAUUCCAGUGAAAGAGAGCUGGCUAACUGACUCCAUCUUGCUUCUAACCUCCAAGAUGUACUUGUUCAUUCCUGGUCAUACGCCGAACUAGCUUUGGGAGGAACUUAGGUUAUAAUUUAACUUUGAAACAAAGAUGGUAACAGCCCUUUUCUAAAACAAAUCCCCUUGGCUGCCUUUGCAAGACUAACAAAUUAGCUACAAGAUUAGAAAUUAUGGGUUAGCAGUCUUGCAGCUGGAGGCUGUGACAUUCUGAACCUCCCUAAAUUGUUCCUCAGGAAAACAUCAGUGUUAUACACUUGAUCUUAUCCAAAAGGCCGGGAAGCAAUACUACAUCAGUAUUAUAAAACCUAGGGUCAGUGCUUGAGAUAUUUUGCAGACCCCGUGCUCAGUGGAUUAGCUGGCAACACCCAGGUUGAUAAGCUGGCUCAUCUGGUCUUGCGGCCCCCACCCAGCAACUGACUCAGUGGAGGAGGACAGCUUUGACUCCCUAUGAUUUCAUUUCUGUACCAGCCAAUCAGCACUCCACACUUUCUGACCCCCUACCCACUAAAUUAUCCUUAAAAAUCCCAAUCCCCAAGUUUUUGGAGAGACUGAUUUGAGUGAUAAUAGAACUCCUGUCUCCUGUACAGCUGACUCUGUGUGAAUUAAACUCUAUAUUCCCCUGUCUUGAUAAACCAGCUCUGUCUUGUCACAGGGCAAGGAGAAACCACUGGGCGAUUACAAUACCAACCUCAGGGUGUCCUAGUUGGUCUAUUCUCUGGGUAGCAGCCUAAUCAAAAGUGGACAUAGGAAUUCAAACUCAAUUCUGGUUCAGUCACUUGGAUUCUCUCUGGAAUCUCAUCAUCCCAGAUCAUAAGGUUAAGGAUCAUUGUUGUGGGUACACUAUGUGUGGUACACUAUGUGUGGGACAUAAUAGCUUUCCGGAAAUUGUAUACAAAUGGCUUUGUCCCUCUUGCACCUGACCAUUCCAUAUUAAAGUUCUAGGUAUCAGUUGGAAAUGAUAGAAAAAAACUGAAGUUAUAUCUACUGGAAUGGAACAGGUCAAUUUUCUAGUGGUAAGUAAGAACAACAACUGGGCGCAGUGGCUCAUGCCUGUAAUCCCAGCACUUUGGGAGGCCAAGGUAGGUGGAUCACCUGAGGUCAGGAGUGUGAGACCAGCCUGGCCAACAUGGCAAAUCCCUAUCUCUACUAAAAAUACAAAAAUUAGCUGGGCGUGGUUGCACGGUCCUGUAAUCUCAGCUACUUGGGAGGCUGUUGCAGGAGAAUUGCUUGAACCUGGGAGGUGGAGGUUGCAGUGAGCUGAGAGCGCGGCAGUGCACUCCAGCCUGGGUGACAGAGCGAGACUUUGUCUCAAAGAAAGAAAAGGAAAAAAAAAAGAACAACAAUCUUGGCACCUGGAGAGAGGACACUUAAUUACACCAUUUUGGCCUUAGAAGGCAUUCAGGAUUGCCUUAACUCACUGGCCAAGACUGUUAGAUGAUAGGCUUGCCCUGGACUUCCUCCUGUGGGUCAGGUGAGGGGUAUCUGGAGCUCUAGCAUAGGGCUUGGGGUGAGUGACAGCUUUAGAUUAGGCCCUCUUGAGUAUUUGACACUUAAGCAAAACCUUGAAAGAUGUGAGGGAUUUGGCAGUAUAGAUGUCUGCCCUUGUAAGCCUGAGUGUUUGCUCCAUUGAGAACAGUGGGCAUUACUGAGAAGCUGUGGAAGAGACAAUUUAAUAGUCAGAUGACCUUGGUUGAAGUUUUACUUUUGGGCAAGUCAGCCCCGGCACUAAAUUGCUUAACCAACCAUGUGGGUUAAAUGAAUGACAGAAACCAGCAUAUUUUAGACCGGAUAGUCCCUGUUUUAGAUGAAAAAUGAGAAAAUUAAUUGCAUCAAUGCUGAAUUUGAACUUCUCCAAGAAUCAUUGUCUGUUUAUUCUUCUCCCCAUUCACAAGGGCAUUUCAUUGUUCCCUUGGUGUCACUGCAUUGUUUUUAACUAGCACUUGCUUUGGUGGGGAAGAUCAGAAGUGACCUCAUGAAUUACUUUGAUAAAUAUGUCAAUCAGCGGAAUUCCAAGUGGAUUUUCAGUUGAGUCUAGGGAUUAGUUUCUGCAAUAGGUAAGGCAAAGCUGAUGAAAUUCAGCCACUCUGCACGAAUGUAAAAUGUCAAGUAAGAAGUGUUCAUGGAGCCUGCUGAGAAUUGUACUUCACUCAGCAGCUAAGAAAAUGAUUCUGUCAACUCUUGAUUAUUCUUGUUAAUGAAAAUUUAAAAUACCAUUGAUUAACAUAGGGGUUAAUGUAUACAUUCUUACCACAGAAAGGGAAAAGUAGCAGGAGAUACACCUUGGCCAGGUGGAAGAAGUAGUCCUAAAUGUGAGCGGUGGUAGAUGUCAAGAAGACCUUACUGAUGGUCGGAGAAAUUAACCUGGUAGCAGCCAGGGCAAGGAAUGAGAGAAAAGAAAUCUAGGCAAUUGGUGUAGAUUCAUUUUAACUACAGAGUGGAUAAUGAAAGGAUGCUUUUCCUUUUCUUUAAAAAAAAGUAAAUAGGCAGAAUAUAAUGCCUUAGAUUCACUGAUUCUGUAAAUGAAAUGCCUCUUCUAUGCCAGACCUGGGCUGGGCUCUGGAGGGAUAGCAGCAAAUAUUACAAUCCCUGCUUUUCCAGGAGAUUACAGUGUUAUUGGCAAGAUGUAAAAGUGAACCAGCACAACCCAGUAGCAUUAUGCACAAGGAUCUCUUGGAACCAAGCAGGAAACACAGAGUAGAGGGUGAGCAUGACAGGCUGGGAAAGUUUACAGGAGCAGUCAAAGCCUGCCUGUGUCUUAUUGGAGGAGUUGUAGUUAGAUGCACCUUUACAAUGUCAUUCAAUAAACAUUAAUUAAGCAAUCUUGGUAUGCUAGACAGACAUUUAUGGUAAGCUCUAGGAUGAACAAGAAUCAUCCCAGCUUUCAAAGCUUUAGACUGUGGUAGAGUGAAACAGAUACAAACAAGCUCUCAGAUGUGUCAUUAGUUACUGUGAGGAAAUUACAAAAAGGAUGUAUUAGCAGCCCAAGUCUGUUCCACUCGAUCUGGUGGGGGGCUGUGAGGUCUUGUGUCUAGUACCUGGAAGGAUGAUAGGUGUCCAGCCUGUGGUAUUGAAAUCAGGUUAUUGAAGAUAGAUAAAACAACAUGACUGGUGGUGAGGGGCAGCCAUGGUUAAUUUGAAGAACUACAAGUAUAGCAGUUCUAUUUGACUGCAGGUGAAAAUUGUGUUAGGGAAGGGGAGAGGGAUGAAGACGGAGAGCAGGAACAAAGCAAGCAAGGCUUCGUGUGCCCUGGGAAGGCAUUAGGUUUAUUCCAUGUGUAGGAAUAUGUGUAGGCAGAUGGCUAGACAUGAGCGGGUUACUCAAGGGGAGCCCUUGAGAAAGGAAAAGCUUGGGAAGUCUUAGGCCCAAGGGACCACCCACCGCUUACAUAUUAAUAGAAUCCCUAAUGCUGUAGCGGGUGGACAAUUAGUCAACUGUGAGCAGAAAGAAAGGAAAAGGAAAAAGGAGAAAUUCCUAAGAGAUAUAUAGGCACAAGUACCAAUUUGACUGCUGUACGACCUUACUGGGGUGGUGGUAAUGAGCAGUGCAGCCAUUAGAUAGAAUUCGUAUCCAACCCCUGGCCCACGCAUGCGCACUGACUAAUAGUAAGGGAGGGCCCCACAAACCUGGGGUGGAAACUAGGCAGGGAAAAGGCAAGGGCUUACGGCAGAAGCAGAAAAACUAGAUAAUGAAAAAAGGCAGAGACUUGAGACAGAGCAGGGAACGUGAAGAAAAAUCCAAUGUUAUAAAAACCCAACCCAGGACUCUCUGUUGGCCCAUUCUCUUUCAGCAGCCUGCUCUGCCUCAUCUUUCAGAAUGUCCUGUCUCUUUAAAUAAACUCUCUGCUCCCUCUUUCCCUUCAAGUAAAGAUUUCUGCUGUCUUUGAAUUGUCACUUGGCCAUUAUCUUACUCCCAAGAUGAUCAAGGACCGAGGAUUCCCCAUACUUUUUAGUAGCGCAUGGAAACACGGAUGUUUGUAGGGAGAAACAAGAUAAACACUCAAGGAUUAAAGUGGCAAAGUGAUGUGUGAAAAUUUAGAUUUUGAGUCAUUCUGGCUACGGUUUGGGGAUAGACUGGAGUGGGAAGGGACUAGGGGUAGACAGGACCAUUUAGGAAUUUCAGCAUUAGUCUGGGCACAAAAUGAUGAAGAUCUAAAUCAAGACUGUGUAAGUCAGUUUAAAGAGAGAAAUGUGUGAAGAGAAAUAAUUUACAGAACUUGCUAAUUGAUUAUAAAUGACAAGGGUAUUUCAGAGGAAAGAGGCAAACAUGACUUCCAGUUUUCCAGGCAGUGCAAUUUAGUGUAUCAGCCAAGGUUUUCCAGGAGGUAUGAAUUAUUCAGCAAAACUGAGGGUUUAACAAACUCUGAGACUUUAUAUGUACAGUGAAAAGUUCUUCAGUGGAGUAUAAAUUCUUUAGUAGAUUUUAAAUUCCUUGAGUGUAAGUACUUCAUUUUAAAAUUGUUUUAAUCUGCUUUAGCAUAGUUUUGUAGAGCUUGAUAAAGUAAUGUUUUCAGUCUAAAUUUAACCUGAUUUGUAAAAAGCAAAAAUGUAUGUAAACCUUUGGGUUAAAAAAAAGUUACUUAAAAAUGGCAUUUCUUCUCUGGGCACAGUGGCUCACGCCUGUAAUCCCAACACUUUGGGAGGCCGAGGUGGGCAGACCACCUGAGGUCAGGAGGUCGAGACCAGCCUGGCUAACAUGGUGAAACCCCGUUUCUACUAAAAAUACAAAAAAUUAGCUGGGCGUGGUGACGCACAGCUGUAAUCCCAGCUACUCAGGAGGCUGAGGCAGGGGCAUCACUUGAACCCAGGAGGCGGAGGUUGCAGUGAGAUGAGAUCACGCCAUUGCACUCCAGCUUGGACAACAGGAGCGAAACUCCAUCUCAAAGAAAAAAAAAAAAAGACAUUUCUUAUAGCACUAUGCAUAUUAAAACAAUGUUAGAUUACCAGUGAUACAACUUUUAUAGUUUUUAUAUUCUCUUUCAAAAGAAAACUAGUACUGGUGUAGGUGGAACAUAGGCUGAGGUAACAGUUUAUGUGGAAAAGAAGAUAUCACUGGUCUUCUACUUUGGCUUACUUCAACUAAGGUCACUACUGAUAGUAGCUUUUGGAUUAUUAAUUCAAUCUAAAGCUGAGGGAUAUCUUUUAUUUCAUCUACUAUAGUUGUUCAAAGACUGGGGUUUAGAGGUGGAGUAAAUUUACAUGGAUUAACUCUACUGAGAAAGUUUUAUGAUAAUGUUUCAUUGAUAAAGCUCAGCUGAUGAAGUAAUUGUUGUUUCAGGCACUUUUGGCCUGAAGAGUUUUUGUUCUGAAUUUGUGGUUUAAAUGCAUAGCAAAAGCAAGGAAUCUUUAAUGGUACUUGCUUUGAAAUUAGAGUAUGAUUACUUUAAAACACUAUGGAUAGUUUUAUUGCCUUAAACUAUUUUUAAACUGCCAUUCUUUUUUAAUGGUCUCUAUAGCUGCAUGCUGGUGAAAGGAAAAGCUGGUAGAGAAUUCACUUUGGUUGAGAGUUAGGUGAGGACCUGCAAGGAACUGUAGGAAAAGCUGUUAUAUUUUGAACUGGUGAUCAUUAAUUUUUUAUGUGCCUUCCCUAAAGCUCGCCACAGGGGUGUUUCCAGCACAACACUUUAAGCCUAAUUGGACCCACUGGCAAUGUAUAUACCCAGCAGUGGAUUUUCUGGAUCACAUGGUAUAACUCACUUUUUAAUUUUUUUGAGGAACCUUUAAACUGUUCCACAUAGUGGUGGUACUAACGUACAUUCCCAGAAACAAUGUACAAGGGUACUCUUUUCUCCACAUUCUUGCCAACAUUUGUUAUUGUCUGUCUUUUGGAUAAAACUCAUUUUAACUGAGGUGAGUAAAAUUAUUUCUUAAUAGCACUAAGUGGUCUACAAGAAAUCAACAUUAAAGACACAGAGAGAUUAAAAGUAAAGAAUGAAGAAUUAUAUACCAUGCAAAUGCAAUCAAAAGAAAGUUGGAGUAGCUAUGUUAAUUUUAGACAAAGAAUACUUCAAAGCAAAGAAAAUUAUCAGGAAUAAAAGGGUUAUUACAAAAUGUUAAAGGGGUCAGUUCUCCAAGAAGAUAUAACAAACCUUAAUAUGUAUGUGCCAAACAACAGAGUGCCAAAAGAGAUGAGGAAAAAAAUAAUAGAAUUGCAAAGAGAAAUAGAAGAAUCCACUGUUAUAACUGGGCAAUUUAACACCUCUAGAGUAAUUUGUCAAUUACUCUAUAAGUAAUUUAAAAAUCCAGCAGACAGAAAACCAGUGAGGGUAUCAUUGAAAUGAACAGCACCAUCAAUCAACUGGAUUUAAUUAACAUCUAUAGAAUGCUUAUUGCCACAAAAGCAGAAUACACAUUCUUCUCAAGUUACAUGGAGCAUUAACCAAAAUAGACCACAUUCUUGACCACAAAACACAUCUUAACAAUUUAAAAUAAUAAAAAACAUACAAAAUAUGCUCUGAGGCUGCAAUGAAAUUAAACUAGAAAUCAGUAACAGAAAGAUGGCUGGAAAAAUCCCCAAAUACACACAGAUUAAACAGCACACUUCUAAAUACACAUGAGACUAAGAAGAAGUGACAAGAGAAUUUUUAAAAAUUUCAAACAAAUUGAAAGUAAAAAUAUGACUCAAAAUUUAUGAGAUGAGCAAAAGCAAUGCUUAGAGAAAAAUGCAUAUAGAGAAACAAAAAGAAAUCUGAAAUCAAGAAUCUAAGCUUGCAUCUUAGGAAACUGGAAAAAGAAGAGCAAAUUAAACCUAACAUAAAUAGAAGAAAAGAAAGAUUAGAGCAAUAAUCAAUGAAUUUGAAAUUGGAAAAUCAAGAGAAAACAUCCAUGGCACCAAAAGCUGGUUUUUUUUGGGGGAAACAUCAAUAAAAUUUAUAGGGCUUUAGCUAGGUUAAGGAAAGAGAGAGAAAGCAAGAGAGGGAGAGAGAGACAGAGACAGAGAGAGAGAGAGAUAAAACUUACGAAUAUCAGAAACGAAACAGGAGCCAUUACUACCAAUCUCAAUGGACAUUAAAAUCAUAAUAAAAUAUUAUUAAUAACUCUAAGACCACAAAUUUGAUAGUCUAGAUGAAAUGGAUCAAUUUCUUCAAAGACACAACCUACCCAAACUCAUAGACAAUCUGAAUGGGCCCAUAUCUAUCAAAAACUUAAGUCGGUGGUAAUUAAUAACCCACAAAAUAGAAAGCACUAGGUCCAUAUGGCUUCACUUAUGAAUUCUACCAAACUUUUAAGAAAGAAAUAUCAAUUUUCUACAAUCUCCUUCAGAAAUUAGAAGCAUAGAGAAUGCUUCAUAACUCUUUCUACUAGGUCAGCCUUACCCUAAUACCAAAACCAGAGAAAGGCACAACAAGAAAAGAAAAUUACUGACCAACAUUUCUCAUGAGCAUAGAUAGAUGCAAAAAUCCUCAAAAAGUUUGAAAGUCAGAUAUAAUAAUGCAUACAAGGCAUUAUAUUUCAUGAUUAAGUGGGAUUUAUUCCAGAUAUGCAAGGCAGUUUCACCAUUUAAAAAUCAGUUAUGUCAUCCAUUGCAUCAACAGGAAAAAGGAGAAAAAUCAUGUGAUUAUAUCAACAGAUGAAGAAAAAUCACUUGACAAAAUCCAAUACCUAUUCAAGUUAAAAACUGUUAGCAAACUAAGAAUAGAGGGGAACUUCCUUAACUUCAUAAUGAACGUUUUCAAAAAUCCUAUAGCUAGCAUCAUACUUAAUGAUCAGAAAGAUCAGGAACAAGCUGAGAUUGUCCACUCUGAAUAGCACUGAGCAUUUCAAAAAAGAUUAAUUUUGACUUGUGUUCUCCUUUGUCAAGAUUUAGGAAUGUAGGUUAAAAAUGACUUCGGUUGUCCAGGAUCUCACAGGGCUGACCUAGCAAUUACACAUGUUAAUAGAUACAAAAUAAAAAUGGUUAUAAGAAUGCAUGGGCAGGAAAGUAUCUUCAAGUGGUGAUAAAUUGGAAAGUAGACUGUACUAUUAGGGAAUGUUAACUAAUAAGUGUUUCUUUUUAUAGAUGAUGAGUAAAUUUUUAUACAACUUAAAGCAAUUUCUAUCAGAGCUACUCACUUUCAUUUGUUUCAGAAUACGUUUUUGCUUUCAGAUUUUUCUAAAUAAAACACAGUAGCUAAGAAAAACAUUAGUUAUUGUCUUUUUCAAUAACACUUCGCCAGAGUCAUGGAGAUGGAUAGAACUUUAAAGCAAUUUGAGCUGUGUUCAUGCUCUGGCAUGCUACAGUGGACACCGUGCAAUCAAAGCCCAAAACCUCCUGACGUACUUCAGCCUAAUACACUGAUAAGCAACAAAUUAUGAUGGUCAAAAUGAAUCCUUAUUCUGACCCUAAAAUUGCAAUGACAGGAACAUUGAAAC
This 8898-nucleotide long non-coding RNA is filed under the name Homo sapiens (human). RNAcentral describes it as "HSALNT0080525". The record is from RNAcentral. Lineage: Eukaryota; Metazoa; Chordata; Mammalia; Primates; Hominidae.